Molecule: ribosomal RNA, 200 nt
Filed under: uncultured bacterium
Lineage: Bacteria
Description: partial 16S ribosomal RNA
Rfam family: Bacterial small subunit ribosomal RNA
Source: RNAcentral
UACGGAGGGGGCUAGCGUUGUUCGGAAUUACUGGGCGUAAAGCGCACGUAGGCGGCGAUUUAAGUCAGAGGUGAAAGCCCGGGCUCAACCCCGGAAUAGCCUUUGAGACUGGAUUGCUAGAAUCUUGGAGAGGCGAGUGGAAUUCCGAGUGUAGAGGUGAAAUUCGUAGAUAUUCGGAAGAACACCAGUGGCGGAAGGCG